Molecule: ribosomal RNA, 777 nt
Filed under: Staphylococcus sp. ht2-18
Lineage: Bacteria; Bacillati; Bacillota; Bacilli; Caryophanales; Staphylococcaceae
Also listed under: 1 other name
Description: bacterial SSU rRNA
Rfam family: Bacterial small subunit ribosomal RNA
Source: RNAcentral
UGCAAGUCGAGCGAACAGAUAAGGAGCUUGCUCCUUUGAAGUUAGCGGCGGACGGGUGAGUAACACGUGGGUAACCUACCUAUAAGACUGGAAUAACUUCGGGAAACCGGAGCUAAUGCCGGAUAACAUAUAGAACCGCAUGGUUCUAUAGUGAAAGAUGGUUUUGCUAUCACUUAUAGAUGGACCCGCGCCGUAUUAGCUAGUUGGUAAGGUAAUGGCUUACCAAGGCGACGAUACGUAGCCGACCUGAGAGGGUGAUCGGCCACACUGGAACUGAGACACGGUCCAGACUCCUACGGGAGGCAGCAGUAGGGAAUCUUCCGCAAUGGGCGAAAGCCUGACGGAGCAACGCCGCGUGAGUGAUGAAGGUUUUCGGAUCGUAAAACUCUGUUAUUAGGGAAGAACAAAUGCGUAAGUAACUGUGCGCAUCUUGACGGUACCUAAUCAGAAAGCCACGGCUAACUACGUGCCAGCAGCCGCGGUAAUACGUAGGUGGCAAGCGUUAUCCGGAAUUAUUGGGCGUAAAGCGCGCGUAGGCGGUUUCUUAAGUCUGAUGUGAAAGCCCACGGCUCAACCGUGGAGGGUCAUUGGAAACUGGGAAACUUGAGUGCAGAAGAGGAAAGUGGAAUUCCAUGUGUAGCGGUGAAAUGCGCAGAGAUAUGGAGGAACACCAGUGGCGAAGGCGACUUUCUGGUCUGUAACUGACGCUGAUGUGCGAAAGCGUGGGGAUCAAACAGGAUUAGAUACCCUGGUAGUCCACGCCGUAAACGAUGAGUG